RNAcentral lists this microRNA precursor (59 nucleotides) under Oreochromis niloticus (Nile tilapia). RNAcentral's name for it is "microRNA oni-mir-10882 precursor". The record is from miRBase by way of RNAcentral. Lineage: Eukaryota; Metazoa; Chordata; Actinopteri; Cichliformes; Cichlidae.
GGGGGAGGAAGUGGAUGUUCAUUGUAGCUCCUUGUUUGACUCGGCUUCGUCUCCAACGC